CUGGGAGUGAAGGCAGUGCUUAUGACCGCUUGAUAUGAGAGACACAUCCUGUUUUUAAAGGUGGAUCAUGAGUGAAGCUCUGCAGGUCUGCCAUUGGCUUGAUAACAGUUGUUUAUGUUUAUUCAAUUUAUGAAUAAAUCUCUCGCUAACCAUUCACCUAUUUACUGACACAACAGAUCCAAAUCUUGUUCGGUCUGAUGCUCAACCUUGUAUGAUGACGACCACUGCAAGGUGAGGGGAAUCUGUGGUAAUCACAGCCUGCGGCUCAAGAUCAACAUGACAAUAGCUGACCAUCUCUUAUCUUACUCUUAUCUGACUAAAUGUUCAACUUCAUUGCAACAAAACAAAGAACAUUGGAUGGAGUGUUGGAGUAUGUAAUGUAUAAUGAUCCAGCAAACAAAAUAAUAUGGACUUUUUUGGCGAGAUUCUACAAACAUUGACACAAUCCUAUUGACUUUUAUUUUUACAGUUAGUAAUGUAUUAUUAACAUCCCCUUAAUUUGUAUUCUAUGUCAUCUAUCUGUUUGUGCUAAAAUGUUUACAUCUGAAUGUAAUGUCAUGUUAAUAUUCAGUAUUUAUUAUCAUUUGCAUGUUUUA
Molecule: long non-coding RNA, 596 nt
Organism: Misgurnus anguillicaudatus (oriental weatherfish)
Lineage: Eukaryota; Metazoa; Chordata; Actinopteri; Cypriniformes; Cobitidae
Source: RefSeq, a predicted model, not a curated record